Fukomys damarensis (Damara mole-rat) is the source of this 269-nucleotide long non-coding RNA. RefSeq lists it as uncharacterized. The record is from RefSeq and is a predicted model, not a curated record. The transcript has 3 exons. NCBI's taxonomy places the organism in Eukaryota, Metazoa, Chordata, Mammalia, Rodentia, Bathyergidae.
GUUCCCCACGGCCUAACCCUGAAAGCUGGUGCUCAUUCCAUCCCCCAGUUCUCAGCUCCCAUCGGCCCCCACACCAGAAGUCGGCGAAGUUUUCUGUGAGGAGCCAGUGGGGAAAAACUCCAGGGUGGACAGAGGAGGACGGGGUUAUACUGCCUUCAAAAUGCAAUAAUGAGAAAAAAGAAACCCUGCUAUUAACAUCGGCAGGAAACGUUGGCAGAAAAAGGACAACCCAUCCAUGCACUGUGACAUCUUCAAGUAAAUUCACAUAU